GCGCCAGUAGCUCAGCUGGAUAGAGCGUCGGCCUCCGGAGCCGAAGGUCGUGGGUUCGAAUCCCGCCUGGCGCA
This is a non-coding RNA of Gemmatimonadetes bacterium 13_1_40CM_4_65_7, 74 nucleotides long. The record is from Rfam. NCBI's taxonomy places the organism in Bacteria, Pseudomonadati, Gemmatimonadota.